UACGUAGGGGGCGAGCGUUAAUCGGAAUUACUGGGCGUAAAGCGUGCGCAGGCGGGUAUUUAAGUCAGGUGUGAAAGCCCUGGGCUUAACCUAGGAAUUGCGCUUGAGACUGGAUAGCUUGGAGUGCGGCAGAGGGAGGUGGAAUUCCACGUGUAGCAGUGAAAUGCGUAGAGAUGUGGAGGAACACCGAUGGCGAAGGCAGCCUCCUGGGCCAGCACUGACGCUCAUGCACGAAAGCGUGGGGAGCAAACAGG
RNAcentral lists this ribosomal RNA (254 nucleotides) under uncultured bacterium. RNAcentral's name for it is "partial 16S ribosomal RNA". It matches the Rfam family "Bacterial small subunit ribosomal RNA", at positions 524 to 776 of the family's 1533-position model. The record is from RNAcentral.